This 416-nucleotide ribosomal RNA is filed under the name uncultured bacterium. RNAcentral describes it as "bacterial SSU rRNA". It matches the Rfam family "Bacterial small subunit ribosomal RNA", at positions 31 to 492 of the family's 1533-position model. The record is from RNAcentral.
GUACGCUGGCGGCACGCCUAACACAUGCAAGUCGAACGAAGUAGCAAUACUUAGUGGCAGACGGGUGAGUAACAUGUAGGUAUCUACCCUUUGGCCUGGAAUAACACGAGGAAACUUGUGCUAAUACCGGAUAAGUCUUUACGGAGAAAGCUUUAUGCACCAUUGGAUGAGCCUGCACUUGAUUAGUUUGUUGGUGGGGUAAUGGCCUACCAAGACUGUGAUCAAUAGCUGAUUUGAGAGGAUGAUCAGCCACAUUGGGACUGAGACACGGCCCAAACUCCUACGGGAGGCAGCAGUGGGGAAUCUUGCACAAUGGAGGAAACUCUGAUGCAGCGAUGCCGCGUGAGUGAAGAAGGCCCUUGGGUUGUAAAGCUCUUUCGUCGGGGAAGAAAAUGACUGUACCCGAAUAAGAAGGU